Molecule: long non-coding RNA, 465 nt
Filed under: Ananas comosus (pineapple)
Lineage: Eukaryota; Viridiplantae; Streptophyta; Magnoliopsida; Poales; Bromeliaceae
Description: long non-coding RNA (ACOM_LNC018037)
Source: RNAcentral
AACUUUGUAAAGUACUAUAAGUAAUUAAAUCCCACAAUCUAAUUUAUUUGAUAAAUCGUUGACAUGGAAGUGAUGUACGUAGUAUUUUAAUUACUGUCGUAUCAUCAACCACAGCGUUACUAUAACAUUCAGCAUUAGCACCGCAUCAACAUUUAUCUAACUUUAUUUCUAGAGCAAGUGGCAAAGGGCUUGGUGGUUGGUACCCGAGACCCAAGUUCGAAUCCUAGUUGAUUCAUAUUUCUAGCUAAGUUUAUUUCUCAAAGAAAUAAACGAAGCGGGUAGCGUGCUACCUAUCUCUCUCAAAAAAAAAAACAAAAAAAAUAAAAAAAAAAACAUUUAUCUCACUAAUUUGAGUUGUGGUACUUAAUUACAAUAAUUCAGAAAGUUCGAGUCAGAAAUUACAACUUAUGAAAGUUUGAGGACCAAAAUAUCACGUGACUCAUAUCUUGAGGACGAAAAGUAGUG